AUGCAGCUUCACAUACAGCUCGGGAAGCACAUAACUGUCGAAGACAUUCACUUUGGAAAUGUCCCUGACGGAGGCGGCCUCCACUAUAUUCCGAAUGACAAACUUCUUAAUGGCCUUAUCCUUGGGUACAACCGGGCGCAGUUCAUGCAGCGAAUAGGCUGCCAGCUUCUUCAGGUGGUCAGAGCAGCCAAUGGUGCCCAGUAUAUCUUUCAGCCUCAGCAGUCAGUAGUUCUACAACAACAAGUUAUACCACAGAUGCAGCCUGGAGGUGUACAAGCUCCUGUUAUACAACAGGUUUUAGCCCCUCUUCCUGGAGGAAUUUCACCACAGACGGGCGUCAUCAUCCAGCCUCAGCAAAUCUUAUUCACAGGAAAUAAGACUCAAGUUAUACCUACAACAGUGGCAGCACCCACCCCAGCACAGGCACAGAUAACCGCAGCCAGUCAGCAGCAACCACAGGCACAGCCUACCCAGCAGCAGGCGCCGUUGGUUUUACAGGUUGAUGGGACUGGAGACACAUCAUCAGAAGAAGAGGAAGAUGAGGAAGAGGAUUAUGAUGAUGAUGAAGAGGAAGAAAAGGAGAAGGAUGGAGCCGAGGAUGGGCAGGUGGAAGAGGAGCCCCUCAACAGUGAAGAUGAUGUGAGUGAUGAGGAAGGACAGGAGCUUUUUGACACGGAAAAUGUUGUCGUGUGCCAGUAUGAUAAGAUACACAGAAGUAAAAACAAAUGGAAAUUUCAUCUCAAGGAUGGCAUUAUGAAUCUUAAUGGAAGAGAUUAUAUAUUUUCCAAAGCCAUUGGAGAUGCAGAAUGGUGAAGAGUUGCUUCUUUUAUAAAUAAAACAAAAGAAACUUAACAAAAUUAAAGUGGAUGGUUUGGAACUUGGGACAUAAUACCAACCAAAACUUCACUUCUGCAUGUCAGAAAAGUGCAGUAGAAGGAAAGCUACUGGAGCGAAGAUAGACCGUGACAGCAUAGACACUACUUCUAACUGGCAAGCCAUGGAACUGUAGUACCUGGGGGUAUUGGGGUGGGGGUUGGGUUUUGUGUAGGAAAAUCAUAAUUGUCAAUUUUAAAUACAGGAACUUGCCACCGGCAAUUAGCAUGUAAAGCUUUGUCUAUUAUCCUUCCUCCAACUUGGGCUUAAUUAGAAGACACUUGUUGGAAUGAACUGAAGAAACUUCCUUUUGAUAGAUUGAAAUGAAACUGCUUAUUGUAUGUGGUUAUAUUUGGUAAAAAUUACGUGCGAGCUUUUUACAAAAGGGUAAGAAUUAUGGUGUUGAAUUUUAAUUCACUUGUAUAAGUAAACAACUGAAACUCUCGUCUUAAAAUUUUUUACCUGUUAUUCUCCCCCAGUAAUAUAGAUCUGUUCCCUGCUUUAUGAAACAUCUAUUUAAGAAUUAAAGGAAGUGUGA
Octodon degus (degu) is the source of this 1411-nucleotide RNA transcript. It is a transcript of the gene named transcription initiation factor IIA subunit 1 pseudogene, with no coding region annotated. The record is from RefSeq and is a predicted model, not a curated record. The transcript is spliced from 2 exons. NCBI's taxonomy places the organism in Eukaryota, Metazoa, Chordata, Mammalia, Rodentia, Octodontidae.